Camelus dromedarius (Arabian camel) is the source of this 3714-nucleotide long non-coding RNA. RefSeq lists it as uncharacterized. The record is from RefSeq and is a predicted model, not a curated record. NCBI's taxonomy places the organism in Eukaryota, Metazoa, Chordata, Mammalia, Artiodactyla, Camelidae. The transcript is spliced from 2 exons.
GGGCUCCGCUCACCUGUUAAGGCCUUCAUCCCGUGUUGCUGUUGUCCGGUUCAGGUCCCUGGACUCUUUAAUCAACAGAAAUUGAAAAGCAGCUGGACGAGGAAUUCAGGCAAGGCUUUCCUGGGACACGUGCUGCAAGCAGGAGGGAGUGGAAACAAGUACCAGGUUUCCUUGCUUGAGGAGGGGCAAGCUGGCUCCUUCAGUUGGGUAACAAUGUGGGGCGGGCUCAGCUUAGGCUGCCUGCCCACCCCCUUGGCGGUGCCGUGUGCAGGGAUCACGGGCAGUCCCCUGUUUUUGCUCCCAGCUCCUCAGCAGUGGUACUUGGCGUAUGGCCUUUCUGUAUCUUGAUGUUCAUAAUUGCACUAACUGCACAGGUACAGCUUUUUUAGUCCCUAAUAGUUUCUUCGUAUUCUGCUGCUUGAGGAGAGGUUUGUGCACGUGCAAGUGCAAGCACUUCAGUAGAGGGUCCCAGGUCCUGGCCUAUCUCUAACUGACUGUAUGUGUAUGAGCCUUCUGACUGGUAGGGGGGAGACAAGCCCACCUCUUCCCCACAGCUGGGCAUGGGGGUUGGGGAUGGGAAUUACUGUGUAAGUCUCUCCAAAGAAAGCCUACGUCUAAUUUUUUUAACACCUUUUGGCCUCUCCAAUCUGUUCUGUGAGCUCAAAGCAGGUGAUCAGCUGAGGGUCACAAAACUGGUUCUCAACCACCUCCUUUGCAAGUCCUGCUCUGGGAGUCCUACGGCACUCUGGAAUGUGGGAAUCAUUGGCACCUGUUGUCCUGAGAUCCUUGUCAAUACUCAGACCAGGCGGGUCCCCUUCUCACAUCCUGUGACGCUUGCUUAAACCACUGCAGGCAGGUUUCCAUCAUAGUUCCUAACUCACACAAGCCCAGAGAUGGAAAAAAAAAUCCUGGGAUGCAUCAAAAAUUUUGACCAAUAAAUUAGGGUGAUUGAGUGGGACUUGGGGAGGGGAGUGGCAGACAGAUUCUUUUGGAUUGAGGGGUAGAUGCGAUGCAGAUGGGGCUGGAAAGCACUGGGAGGGUGUCUUACAGGCGGAGAAAAACCGAUGGGAUCGAGGGGUACUGGGGAUAGUGGGAGCGAAUAGAGCAGGAGGAGGGUUCAGAGGGGCUGGAGGUCAUGGAAGGAAUGGGGAAAAUAAGAGGGAAGCGAGAGCUGUGGAGGCUGGGGGACCAGGAGAAUGGAGGGGACUUAGCUGAGCUGGGACAGGGAAGACCUGGGGAAAGGGAUGGGGCAAAAUAGCAACUAGAGGAAGUUGGAGAAGACUGGGUGGGGUUGGGAGUGGCCAGCAGCUGUUUCUUGUACACAGAGGAAAAUAUUUAAAAAUUUAACAUUGUGAUAAAACACACACAGCUCUUACCAUUUUAAGCAUUUAAGCAUUUAACUACAGGUGGCAUUAAGUGCAUUCACAAUGUUAUGCAACCAUCCCUACCAUCUGUCUCCAGAACUGUCUCAUUUUCCCAAACAGAAACCCCUUAAACAAAAACUCCCCCUUUACCCAACCCCUGGGAGUGUCUAUUCUGCUGUCUGCCUUGUACAGAGAACACAUGAAGCCAUGAUUUCCUUGUCCCUAGCCUUGUCCCAAGUGGAGGUACAGGGGACUGGGGGAAAUGGAGUUGGAGGAGAGUCUCGGAAGCCCUGUGGAGGACCAGAGGGACUGCGAGGAGGGCUGGGGCUAGGAGGCCUGGGGGUUCUGGGAAGGGCUGGAGGAGCUGGGAGUUUUGAGGAACUGAGUGAUGACAGGAUGGAUGGGAAGGGGCGUAGCCAGGGCUAGGCAUCUUGAUAAAUCACAACCCUUCCAAAAACAGAGCCCUCUGGUCCCGGCUCCCUGACCACCUGCUGCAGCAGGCUCCAUGCUCUGGCUGGGUCUGUGUGGUGACAGCUGCUGGGACCCUCCCCUGGCUGCCAGGUUGGGCCCUGCCCCCACCCUAUAGUCCGUAUGCUCCCAUCCUGCUUGGGGUAGGAAAUGGAAGUGGGCCUGGGGGACCUCGCCUUUCCUCCUCACUGGGUCCAGGGGUAGUUGGAGGUGGCAUUAAACCUUGUUUGUGUUUUACUCAUUUCUGGCAAACCAAGGGCCUCAGUGUAACGGCCCUUUUGAGGGGUGCAAAGUAAUCUGCUCAUUGUCCCAGGGGAGGAACUAGAAAACGAGUCUCCAACCAGUCUAGACCAAAGGGGAGGGUCAGCAGGGAGUGUGGGAAAUGGGAGGAAGUUGGUGGGACUGGGGGCUGAAGGUAUUAAAAGACUGAGUGUCUGGGAGGGUUAGGAAGGGACUAGGGGAGCUGGAUGAAAUAGAACUGGGGAUGAUUUGGGAAUCUGAGUUGCCAGAGAGAGACUGGAACCUAGAAGGAGCUGAGAUUCCAGACAGGGUGGAAUAAGAGAAAUGUUGUGGAGGUGAGUGGGGGACAUGGAAGGGAAGAGGUAAAUCGGGAGAACCUGGAAGAGGCCAGGAGAGCUGGGGAUGGGGGCUAGUCAUUGGAAGGAUGUUAGGGCCUGGAGUAGGCCUGGAGGAUCUGGCAGUGACAUUCAGGUGCCGGGAGGGGCCAGAAGGCUCUGGGAAGAAAAGGGAGGUGAUGCGAAGAGGUGGGGUGAGGCAUGGUGGGAGGGGCAUGGCGACAGAGGGCUUGGGAGAAAGUGGGAACUGCAGGGCGACAGGGGCGGGGCUGAGAGAGGCACUCCUUCAUCCAGAGGUUAAAAUUCCCCACUGUGAUUAAUAGAUUUCUCAGCUUCUCCUUGUGGUUCUACAGGUUUCUGCGUUCCCUACUUCAGUGCUGUUAAGUGCACGCCUAACUCCAGUCCCCACCACAGCUCUGACCCCGUUAAAAUCCACCUUCUACGUGGCAGUAAAGCAACUCAUGUCCUCUCCUUGCUUGAAACCUUGCAGAGCUCCCUUACCUGCACCAUUGCCCUCAAGGCAACCCUAGCCUGGCCCAGCCUACAGGCCCCGCCCCUGCACAUAGCCCCGCCCCCACGCACAGCCCCGCCCCAACUCGUCCCACCACCCCAACUCCUGGCCUGGUUCCCUCUCUGUCCUCAAGCCUCUGCCCACCUCUGUGCUACUCUCCAGCCUCAAUAUCCUGUCUUCUUUAACGCUCCAGAUUGAGUCCACGCUUGGGCUUUUUUGCUCCUGCUGCUUCUGCCUGGAAUGUUUCCUCCACGGGUCUUAGCUACCUUCUUACUUUUCAGGUCUCGACACAAAUUUCACCUUCUUUGAACAGGCUUUCUCAGACCAACCCCCUGGCUAAAGCAGCCCCCAGCUCACUACAGUCUCUGUGAACCAUCAUGGCCUGAGUUCAUCUUCAUCAACCAGCACCUGCCGUCUCGUGACUGUGCCAUUUGUGUGCAUAUUGACUGCCGCCCCUAAAGCAUAAGCCUCCCCAGUUCAGGCUGUUCACUGCUGUAACCCCCGAACCUGGAGCCGUGCCUAGCCAAUGGUGAGGGGUCGAUAAAUGGCUGUUGAUUGAUUACUGAUUGACUCAUUCAUACUCAUAUUCAUAGCAGCAUUAUUCACAAUAGCCAUGAGGUAGAAGCAACCCAAGUGUCCAUGGACAGAGAGUGGAUAAACAAAGUGUGGUACAUACAUACAACAAAUGGAAUAUCAUUCAAUCUUAAAAAGGAAGGAAAUUCUGACAUUUGCUGUAACAUGGAUGAACCUUGAGGACAUUAUGCUAAGUGAAAUAAACCAGUCACAAAAAGACAAA